This 1189-nucleotide ribosomal RNA is filed under the name Escherichia coli. RNAcentral's name for it is "partial 23S ribosomal RNA". It matches the Rfam family "Bacterial large subunit ribosomal RNA", at positions 557 to 1750 of the family's 2925-position model. Lineage: Bacteria; Pseudomonadati; Pseudomonadota; Gammaproteobacteria; Enterobacterales; Enterobacteriaceae. The record is from RNAcentral.
CGUGUACGUACAAGCAGUGGGAGCCUCUUAAUGGGGUGACUGCGUACCUUUUGUAUAAUGGGUCAGCGACUUAUAUUCUGUAGCAAGGUUAACCGAAUAGGGGAGCCGAAGGGAAACCGAGUCUUAACUGGGCGUUAAGUUGCAGGGUAUAGACCCGAAACCCGGUGAUCUAGCCAUGGGCAGGUUGAAGGUUGGGUAACACUAACUGGAGGACCGAACCGACUAAUGUUGAAAAAUUAGCGGAUGACUUGUGGCUGGGGGUGAAAGGCCAAUCAAACCGGGAGAUAGCUGGUUCUCCCCGAAAGCUAUUUAGGUAGCGCCUCGUGAAUUCAUCUCCGGGGGUAGAGCACUGUUUCGGCAAGGGGGUCAUCCCGACUUACCAACCCGAUGCAAACUGCGAAUACCGGAGAAUGUUAUCACGGGAGACACACGGCGGGUGCUAACGUCCGUCGUGAAGAGGGAAACAACCCAGACCGCCAGCUAAGGUCCCAAAGUCAUGGUUAAGUGGGAAACGAUGUGGGAAGGCCCAGACAGCCAGGAUGUUGGCUUAGAAGCAGCCAUCAUUUAAAGAAAGCGUAAUAGCUCACUGGUCGAGUCGGCCUGCGCGGAAGAUGUAACGGGGCUAAACCAUGCACCGAAGCUGCGGCAGCGACACUAUGUGUUGUUGGGUAGGGGAGCGUUCUGUAAGCCUGUGAAGGUGUACUGUGAGGUAUGCUGGAGGUAUCAGAAGUGCGAAUGCUGACAUAAGUAACGAUAAAGCGGGUGAAAAGCCCGCUCGCCGGAAGACCAAGGGUUCCUGUCCAACGUUAAUCGGGGCAGGGUGAGUCGACCCCUAAGGCGAGGCCGAAAGGCGUAGUCGAUGGGAAACAGGUUAAUAUUCCUGUACUUGGUGUUACUGCGAAGGGGGGACGGAGAAGGCUAUGUUGGCCGGGCGACGGUUGUCCCGGUUUAAGCGUGUAGGCUGGUUUUCCAGGCAAAUCCGGAAAACCAAGGCUGAGGCGUGAUGACGAGGCACUACGGUGCUGAAGCAACAAAUGCCCUGCUUCCAGGAAAAGCCUCUAAGCAUCAGGUAACAUCAAAUCGUACCCCAAACCGACACAGGUGGUCAGGUAGAGAAUACCAAGGCGCUUGAGAGAACUCGGGUGAAGGAACUAGGCAAAAUGGUGCCGUAACUUCGGGAGAAGGCACG